AUUUAGCGUGAACAGAAGUUUCAUAAAGGGACCCCCAUCGUUGUCAUCACCGGCGUAUGUUUGCAAAUUUUUUGAUACCAGAAUUGCAAUCGAAUCCUCUUUCGAUCAAAGCUCGCCUUUUCUCUCUCUCUCAAUCCUUCCCUUGACGCAAAUUUCUCUAACCAAAGCCAAGCCCAUACUUUAUUUAUUUUUAUUAAAAACGUUUAGUUCUCUCUAAUUUUGUCACUUCUUAUGUGAGGAUAAUCUACAAUUAAAUCAUUAAAUGAUCCCCGUUUGAUUACAAAUGUUUACAGAAUCUGCUGCAUUUCUGCACUUUAAAUGCACCAUUUAAAUCUUAUGCAAUUGUUGAAUUUUUUAAUCAGAAGAUUGCUGUUCAAGAGGUUCUUGCUAAAGUAAUUUUCAGAGCUAACUGAUAGCUGGAAAACUGGGUUACUGGGCCAAUGGAAUCAUGGGAAGAGCUCACAAAAUCAGGGAGUUUUGUUCUUUCUCUGUGUUAAAGUUGUUUGCGUAUGUGUUGUAUGAAAGUUGAUGAAACAGAACCAUAAUUUCCCUCAUUAAUUAAUUAUGUAGGUGGUCAUGGGAGGAGAUGAUUGUAGUGAUUGUGAUGAUGACAAUAUGGACGCCGGUUCUGGUAUUCUUUUGACUGUGGACUUUGUUUCAGGAUUAGAAGUUGAGGCCAUCCCUCUGUUAAUAUGGACAAAGACAGCUGGAUGGUGGAUAACCAUGACAUUCCCUAAAAUUCGUGAAUUAUUAAGGAGCAUGAGCAACUUAUAUGCUCAUUGUAGGUUCUGAAUGAUUAAAGCAAGCUGAUUUGACCUUUUUCACUGGCAUGAGGUAACAUGAGUAUCAGGGGCUGAUGACCCUGCGAUGGAAAUCAGAAGCUACGUUCCUUCUGCUUCAGGUUGGAAAUAGCCAGUUGGAAUCAUAUUGUUUGGAGGUGGGGAUACUGACCUGAAACCUAAAGUUGAAAAAAUGGGUACCUUUUGGUUUAUGGUACUGGCAUCAGAAGUACAGACCAUUUCCAAUUUUUCCAUUUAGAUCCAGAAGCAGCAUUAUCUUCAUCCAGUAAUAUUUCUGUGAACCUGAGAAGCUUGAUUGGGAUCUAAAAAGGGCCUCCAUCCAAAGGAUGUUGCUAGCGAAUGUAAAGGAGGUUUUAUUUUCCCUUGUUGUGACCUUAGUGAAUCAUUUCUGGGGCGGCCGAAUGUUGAUAGUUCUCCAUUAUUCGAGAAUUCCUGGGUCCCAUUGGCAGAUAUUUUUCGUGAUGGAAAAUAUAUAGGCCAUGACAUUUCAAUCUUGAAUGCACAUUGAACGCUGGAAGAAAGCACUCCCAGUUGUCUGCAUGUAUAUGCCCCAUCGGCUAUGGACAAUUAGUCCUGUCCAUAAUUGUGACCCAAAUGGAUGGAAGGGAAUCAGAUAUAUGACUCAAUUACUAGUAGCUAAUGAUGCUUCUUUUUCUUCUCUCCAUUUCCUUAAAGCAGUGGCCAUGUGUCUUUUUGUCUAAGGAAAUGAUGUCAUGAGGUGAACUCCACAGGAAAUGCAUGGCAAUAAAUCUAUCAGAAAACAUGAAGUAAGCCUUAUAUGAUCAUGUAAAUCUUUGUCCUUUCUCUGUUUUAUUAUUUACCUAUUAUGGCUUUGUCUUGUGUGUCAAAUGUUUUUUUUUUUGUCGGAAAAUGUUUACUAGAUUUCCUAUGUACUUCAUGAGGGUCAACAUAGAAGAAUGUAGUACGGUUUUAUACAUCCCUUUGCUUGAGGGGGAAGAGGAUCAUUUAACGUGAAAAUACAUGCAGAGUUUUUUUGGGAGCUCC
Manihot esculenta (cassava) is the source of this 1805-nucleotide long non-coding RNA. RefSeq lists it as uncharacterized. Lineage: Eukaryota; Viridiplantae; Streptophyta; Magnoliopsida; Malpighiales; Euphorbiaceae. The record is from RefSeq and is a predicted model, not a curated record. The transcript is spliced from 5 exons.